AGUGAACGCUGGCGGUAGGCCUAACACAUGCAAGUCGAACGGCAGCACAGUAAGAGCUCGCUCUUACGGGUGGCGAGUGGCGGACGGGUGAGGAAUACAUCGGAAACUACUUUUUCGUGGGGGAUAACGUAGGGAAACUUACGCUAAUACCGCAUACGACCUACGGGUGAAAGCAGGGGAUCUUCAGACCUUGCGCGAUUGUAUGAGCCGAUGUCGGAUUAGCUAGUUGGCGGGGUAAAGGCCCACCAAGGCGACGAUCCGUAGCUGGUCUGAGAGGAUGAUCAGCCACACUGGAACUGAGACACGGUCCAGACUCCUACGGGAGGCAGCAGUGGGGAAUAUUGGACAAUGGGCGCAAGCCUGAUCCAGCCAUACCGCGUGGGUGAAGAAGGCCUUCGGGUUGUAAAGCCCUUUUGUUGGGAAAGAAAAGCAGCGGGUGAAUACCCCGCUGUUCCGACGGUACCCAAAGAAUAAGCACCGGCUAACUUCGUG
Molecule: ribosomal RNA, 492 nt
Filed under: uncultured bacterium
Lineage: Bacteria
Description: partial 16S ribosomal RNA
Rfam family: Bacterial small subunit ribosomal RNA
Source: RNAcentral